CGUCCAGACUCCUACGGGAGGCAGCAGUGGGGAAUAUUGCACAAUGGGGGAAACCCUGAUGCAGCGACGCCGCGUGAGUGAAGAAGUAUCUCGGUACGUAAAGCUCUAUCAGCAGGGAAGAAAAUGACGGUACCUGACCAAGAAGCCCCGGCUAACUACGUGCCAGCAGCCGCGGUAAUGCGUAGGUGGCGAGCGUUAUCCGGAAUUACUGGGUGUAAGGGGAGCGUAGGCGGGGGAACAAGUUGAAUGUUUAAGAUAUGGGCUCAACUCAUAUAAGCGUUCAAAACUGUUUUUCUUGAGUGAAGUAGAGGUAAGCGGAAUUCCUAGUGUAGCGGUGGAAUGCGUAAAUAUUAGGAGGAACACCAGUGGCGAAGGCGGCUUACUGGGCUUUAACUGACGCUGAGGCUCGAAAGCGUGGGUAGCAAACAGGAUUAGAUACCCUCGUAA
RNAcentral lists this ribosomal RNA (447 nucleotides) under uncultured bacterium. Its description in RNAcentral is "bacterial SSU rRNA". It matches the Rfam family "Bacterial small subunit ribosomal RNA", at positions 328 to 793 of the family's 1533-position model. The record is from RNAcentral.